UAAGGAAUAUUGGUCAAUGGACGCAAGUCUGAACCAGCCAUGCCGCGUGAAGGAUGAAGGUCCUCUGGAUUGUAAACUUCUUUUAUCUGGGACGAAAACGGGAUUUUUAUCUCAAUUGACGGUACCAGAGGAAUAAGCACCAGCUAACUCCGUGCCAGCAGCCGCGGUAAUACGGAGGGUGCGAGCGUUAUCCGGAUUUACUGGGUUUAAAGGGUGCGUAGGUGGGCUUAUAAGUCAGUGGUGAAAUCUCCGAGCUUAACUUGGAAACUGCCGUUGAUACUAUAGGUCUUGAAUUAUCUGGAGGUAAGCGGAAUAUGUCAUGUGGCGGUGAAAUGCUUAGAUAUGACAUAGAACACCAAUUGCGAAGGCAGCUUACUACAUAUAAAUUGACGCUGAGGCACGAAAGCGUGGGGAUCAAACA
RNAcentral lists this ribosomal RNA (421 nucleotides) under uncultured bacterium. Its description in RNAcentral is "bacterial SSU rRNA". It matches the Rfam family "Bacterial small subunit ribosomal RNA", at positions 355 to 774 of the family's 1533-position model. The record is from RNAcentral.